AUACCUUAUUCGGCUUUUUGGCUAAGUUCAAGUGUGGUAUCUGUUCUUAUCAGUAUAAUAUUUGAUACGUAGGCUAUAGCCCACAUGAUAUUAAAUUAUAUUUUCAGGGGAGAGGCUACCACAAUAGCUUGCUAUUGGGUCUCUCGUGUGUCACCCAAGCGUUGCACAAAAGCUUGGGCCUGAUACACCCCAU
Small nuclear RNA from Hibiscus syriacus, 193 nucleotides. RefSeq annotates it as U2 spliceosomal RNA. The record is from RefSeq and is a predicted model, not a curated record. The transcript has a single exon. Lineage: Eukaryota; Viridiplantae; Streptophyta; Magnoliopsida; Malvales; Malvaceae.